Molecule: ribosomal RNA, 430 nt
Filed under: uncultured Desulfobulbus sp.
Lineage: Bacteria; Pseudomonadati; Thermodesulfobacteriota; Desulfobulbia; Desulfobulbales; Desulfobulbaceae
Description: bacterial SSU rRNA
Rfam family: Bacterial small subunit ribosomal RNA
Source: RNAcentral
UUCGAUGCAACGCGAAAACCUUACCUACCCUUGACAUGUCUGGAACCUUGCUGAGAGGCGAGGGUGCCUUCGGGAGCCAGAACACAGGUGCUGCAUGGCUGUCGUCAGCUCGUGUCGUGAGAUGUUGGGUUAAGUCCCGCAACGAGCGCAACCCUUGUCAUUAGUUGCCAUCAUUUAGUUGGGCACUCUAAUGAGACUGCCGGUGUUAAACCGGAGGAAGGUGGGGAUGACGUCAAGUCCUCAUGGCCUUUAUGACCAGGGCUACACACGUACUACAAUGGCCGAUACAAAGGGCAGCGACAUUGCGAAAUGAAGCCAAUCCCAUAAAUUCGGUCUCAGUCCGGAUUGGAGUCUGCAACUCGACUCCAUGAAGUUGGAAUCGCUAGUAAUCGUGGAUCAGCAUGCCACGGUGAAUACGUUCCCGGGCCUU